GCACAUGUGCUGUGCAGUGACAUAUUACCGUGUUGAUAGAUAUUGUGUGCGUUUAUUGUGUGCUUAUCGUACUUCACAUUCGUCGACUGGAUAUUUUGCGCGUUUCGGAACGUCCUCCCGCAUUGAUCAAGUGGGGGAUGAUGCAUCGUCGUUCGUCGCCGCUCAGAACAGCCUCAUCGGACGCGCUGCUUUGUCUCCGCGCUCAAAAGUGCUUUCUUGCUUCGUUUAUCGAUUACCCACGUUAAUCGCGUGAUUCAAUAUCGAGUGUACCUCCAAAGACAAUCCACUUCCCAGUGUUGUGACAAGCGGCGACCGCGGUUGUACAGGAGCGGAAGCGUGAGCCUUUUGACGAGCGACUGUGAAGAAUGCAAAGCCAGUGCCAAACUUCGGAACCGAUAGCCCGGGCGGCGUGUUGGCACAGCGAGGAUGAGAACGAGAGACCCGAUAGACAGCGAUGACAGCUGUUCACGGCACCGACACAGAGGACAUAUUGCAGUGCAAGAUAGGAGCGGUCUUCCUGCAAGCCCAGACAAGCCAUAUUGAGUGGUUUCAAAUACAGCAACUGUACCACCACGACAGUGCAGCACAAGAGACCCUAUCGUCAGUGCUGAGCCAGAAAUUAAAUAGAAAAGCGCUUUCUCCUGAAAUCUUUCGUCUGGUUUUAUUUCGUUUGUUUGU
This 678-nucleotide long non-coding RNA is filed under the name Rhipicephalus sanguineus (brown dog tick). Its description in RNAcentral is "uncharacterized LOC119373573". The record is from RNAcentral. Lineage: Eukaryota; Metazoa; Arthropoda; Arachnida; Ixodida; Ixodidae.